This is a non-coding RNA of Diaporthe ampelina, 96 nucleotides long. The record is from Rfam. NCBI's taxonomy places the organism in Eukaryota, Fungi, Ascomycota, Sordariomycetes, Diaporthales, Diaporthaceae.
CGUAGUGAUGAACCCAUGAUAGGGACAUCUUAUGCCAAAGGCACAUGAUUAUAUUUUGGGUCGAUUAUUUUAGUAGAUGCUUCGACUUUUCUGAAC